CCUACGGGUGGCAGCAGUGGGGAAUAUUGGACAAUGGGGGAAACCCUGAUCCAGCGACGCCGCGUGAGUGAAGAAGGAUUUCGGUAUGUAAAGCUCUAUCAGCAGGAAAGAAAAUGACGGUACCUGACUAAGAAGCCCCGGCUAACUCCGUGCCAGCAGCCGCGGUAAUACGUAGGGGGCAAGCGUUAUCCGGAUUUACUUGGUUUAAGGGGAGCGUAGAUGGGAGGGCAAGUCUGGAGUGAAAUCCCGGGGCCCAACCCCGGAACUGCUCUUGAAACUGUGAAGCUGGAGUGCAGGAGAGGUAGGCGGAAUUCCUGGUGUAGCGGUGAAAUGCGUAGAUAUCAGGAGGAACACCGGCGGCGAAGGCGGCUUACUGGACUGUAACGGACGUUGAGGCUCGAAGGCGUGGGGAGCAAACAGGAUUAGAUACCCUUGUAGUC
Molecule: ribosomal RNA, 440 nt
Filed under: uncultured bacterium
Lineage: Bacteria
Description: partial 16S ribosomal RNA
Rfam family: Bacterial small subunit ribosomal RNA
Source: RNAcentral